GAGACACACUUGUUUCAAUUAUUUAUUUAACUUUGUCUUUCGUAUUUAUAGGUAAAUUGAGAGGGCACACGAUUUCUCAUCUCUGACGAAAGAAUGGAUAAAGGCCAGUAUGUUAAACUAACAGUUGCUAUUAUCAUAACAGGGAUGUGUUUCAUGAUGUAUUGUGGAGUAUUCAAUAAUAUAAUUGAAUUAAAAUGGAACUUUAACACCACGUUGAUUACAUUGAAGUUGAACACACAAUUGGUUGAAAUGAAGUUGAAUACAGAACCGUUCCAUUCGUGCACUGGCCUUAAUUGUACAAACUUUUUUAAAUCCUAUUUUUGGAAGAAAAACUAUAAAUCAGUGGUUUUUCUAGGUGAUUCAUGUAUGUAUCGGUUGUUUUUGGCUAUAUUGGGAAAAAAAAGACCAUGCAAAGUUCAAAAACAGGCUGGUCGAUGUAACCUCAUCUCGUAUUUGGGUCAACAAAGACUUUCUAACUGGACCAAACCAUCUAGUGCAGAAGGACCUGUUGGGUAUGGAUUAACACACCCAUUUUGUACAGAUUGUUCUGGAUGUAACAGUGCACUUUUUAGUUGUGGAGAAAUCAAAACUGAAUAUAUCUCAGUUGAAUAUGCACGAGAUGUUGAAAUCCAGUCAACAAUCGGGAAUACUACACAAGAAGCCGUUUCUCUGUACUUCAAUUCAAACUUUACAAAUGUAUGCGUGGUUAAUUCUGGUUUUCAUGACAUGGUUCUACCAGCCCUAACAGAUCAACUUUAUGUUAAGAACGUGCAAUUCUAUGUGCAACAUCUGGUCCACACAUGUCAGAAUGUAAUUUGGAUUUCCACGACAGCAGUUAGAGGUGACAAAGGAUUUCCUCAAAAUAAUCCCAGAAUUCAACUGUGGAAUAGAUUAAUUAAAGGAAUGUUACGUAAUAAGUUUCCAAAAGUAGGUUUUAUGGAUUUUUUCCCUAUUUCUAAUUCAACAAAAGCGCAUAGGGAUAAUGUUCACUUAACUGCAGCUUUGUAUAAGUUGUUAGCAGGUUUUUUUACUUGAUU
This 1037-nucleotide long non-coding RNA is filed under the name Mytilus galloprovincialis (Mediterranean mussel). Lineage: Eukaryota; Metazoa; Mollusca; Bivalvia; Mytilida; Mytilidae. The record is from RNAcentral.